This 329-nucleotide long non-coding RNA is filed under the name Microtus ochrogaster (prairie vole). RNAcentral describes it as "Nuclear RNase P (ENSMOCG00000012193.1)". It matches the Rfam family "Nuclear RNase P", at positions 87 to 301 of the family's 301-position model. From Rfam's summary of the family: Ribonuclease P (RNase P) is a ubiquitous endoribonuclease, found in archaea, bacteria and eukarya as well as chloroplasts and mitochondria. Its best characterised activity is the generation of mature 5'-ends of tRNAs by cleaving the 5'-leader elements of precursor-tRNAs. The record is from RNAcentral. Lineage: Eukaryota; Metazoa; Chordata; Mammalia; Rodentia; Cricetidae.
AAUGGAAAUGUUUCCCCCAGAACACACCCAGUCUUCCAGGAACACUGAGCCCAGACACCACAUCUCCUUAAGAAUGAGUCUUAUGUUCACAUUACAAGAAGCAUUCUCUUUUACUGUGUUCUGGCUCCACAGGGUCCUGGUUCAAAUUCUAGCUGCCGAGAGCAGGGCUCCACACUUGGGCAGACUGAGCAGGAGAGGCCCCAAGUGGGCGGAUGCCUCCCUCAUCACAGCUUGGAACAGACUCACGGCCAGCAAAGAGCGAGUUCAAUAGCUGAGGUGAGGUACCUCGCAGGCCUCAUAACCCAAUUCAGACUACUCUUCCCCACCUU